Molecule: ribosomal RNA, 1184 nt
Filed under: Modestobacter multiseptatus
Lineage: Bacteria; Bacillati; Actinomycetota; Actinomycetes; Geodermatophilales; Geodermatophilaceae
Description: bacterial SSU rRNA
Rfam family: Bacterial small subunit ribosomal RNA
Source: RNAcentral
UGUANANCNNCGNCCNNUNACUCCUACGGGAGGCAGCAGUGGGGAAUAUUGCGCAAUGGGCGAAAGCCUGACGCAGCGACGCCGCGUGAGGGAUGACGGCCUUCGGGUUGUAAACCUCUUUCAGUAGGGACGAAGCGCAAGUGACGGUACCUACAGAAGAAGCACCGGCCAACUACGUGCCAGCAGCCGCGGUAAUACGUAGGGUGCAAGCGUUGUCCGGAAUUAUUGGGCGUAAAGAGCUCGUAGGCGGUCUGUCACGUCGGCUGUGAAAACCCGAGGCUCAACCUCGGGCCUGCAGUCGAUACGGGCAAACUAGAGUACUGCAGGGGAGACUGGAAUUCCUGGUGUAGCGGUGAAAUGCGCAGAUAUCAGGAGGAACACCGGUGGCGAAGGCGGGUCUCUGGGCAGUAACUGACGCUGAGGAGCGAAAGCGUGGGGAGCGAACAGGAUUAGAUACCCUGGUAGUCCACGCCGUAAACGUUGGGCGCUAGGUGUGGGGGCCAUUCCACGGUCUCCGUGCCGCAGCUAACGCAUUAAGCGCCCCGCCUGGGGAGUACGGCCGCAAGGCUAAAACUCAAAGGAAUUGACGGGGGCCCGCACAAGCGGCGGAGCAUGUUGCUUAAUUCGAUGCAACGCGAAGAACCUUACCUAGGCUUGACAUGCACGGAAAUCUGUCAGAGAUGGCAGGUCCUUUAAAGGGUCGUGCACAGGUGGUGCAUGGUUGUCGUCAGCUCGUGUCGUGAGAUGUUGGGUUAAGUCCCGCAACGAGCGCAACCCUCGUUCUAUGUUGCCAGCACGUGAUGGUGGGGACUCAUAGGAGACUGCCGGGGUCAACUCGGAGGAAGGUGGGGAUGACGUCAAAUCAUCAUGCCCCUUAUGUCUAGGGCUGCAAACAUGCUACAAUGGCCGGUACAAAGGGCUGCGAUACCGCGAGGUGGAGCGAAUCCCAAAAAGCCGGUCUCAGUUCGGAUUGGGGUCUGCAACUCGACCCCAUGAAGUUGGAGUCGCUAGUAAUCGCAGAUCAGCAACGCUGCGGUGAAUACGUUCCCGGGCCUUGUACACACCGCCCGUCACGUCACGAAAGUCGGUAACGCCCGAAGCCGGUGGCCCAACCCCUUGUGGGAGGGAGCCGUCGAAGGCGGGAUCGGCGAUUGGGACGAAGUCGUAACAAGGUAACCGUCAUA